Molecule: non-coding RNA, 1196 nt
Organism: Cinara cedri
Lineage: Eukaryota; Metazoa; Arthropoda; Insecta; Hemiptera; Aphididae
Source: the annotation of a GenBank genome assembly
AAUUAUUGUAGACGUCGGAAAAGCCCUGGAGUAUUUGAUGUACACGAUUUUCAAACUUCAAAUGGGAAAGGUAAUAUCGUCGUUAUUCGUUGUAUCUCAUCUCGUUCGAACAGUUUGCAUUUAUUUCAUUUAUUCACCGAAUUUCGGGUGUAAGUAUACAUAAUAGAAAUUGUAAUAAAAUGUAUUGUUUUUUUAUUUUGUUAAUAAAAUUUAAAUUUUGACCUGUAUUUAAUAAUUAUUUUUUACAAAAAAAAAAAUUUAAUAAUUGAAACCUAAAACUAAGCUCUGCUCAAAAUCUUCCUCCCCCACUCUCCGAUAUAAUACGAUCGGUAUUUUUUAAAUAUUCUCGGCCAGUUAUAUGUUGUGACCAUAAUUUUGUAAUUUACGAAUAAUACAAUUUUUCAACAUUUUGUUGUCAAUGUAUUAUUAUAAUAUGUGUAACAGUACACAUUGAGUCAUUUAUCGGGUGAAUUAAUUAGCUUUAACGAAGCAAAAUCACAUAAAAACAAAAAAAUAACGAUUUAUUUUAUUUCAUAAUAAAACUAUAAAUCAAAUUUAUUUUUAGAAAUGAUCAGGAUUAUUGGGAACCCGCUGUCUAACAAAUUGUACGUAUUUUGGAAAACAAAAGUUCAGAAUCGAGAAGUGUUUGUUUGAAUUACAAAUUGUGUGGAAGAAUUGAAACGUGGUAUAGGGACACGUUUACAAUUCCAAAACUUAAAUCAGGUUUGAUAAAAAAAUAAUACCGAAGUUUCUGUUUAUUUACCUAUAUUGUAUUAUUAAAUGUGUAUUUUUAGGCGUCGAGAGUAAUCGAAGAGACGACUAAAAAAGAAUACGCGAGGAAAAGGUGGAUACCAAAUUUGUGUAUUUAAAUUAUUCUACCUAAAUUAUCUUUAAAAAUCACGAUAUUAUUAUUAAUUUUUUGUUCUUUUUUGUGUGUGUGUGUAUUUUUUCGUACUAAUUUUCUUAUAUAUUAUUAUUGUCCGUUAAAAAUUAUCGAAAACUUUUGAUUGUUGAAAAAAACAAUGUUCGAAUUCCUUCCGAAAGGAAAAACUAUAUUCAUCGUGUUCGGGAGCUAACAAUAGCCAGUGUAUAAGUAAUUAUUUAAAAUCGUUGUACAUUAUUUCAGCAUUCCGUUUCACCUUUAACAAUCGCUACAACGAAAAACUAUUUAGAAACCGAUGGUAUGUAAAAUGACG